UACGUAGGAUCCAAGCGUUGUCCGGAUUUACUGGGUGUAAAGGGUGCGUAGGCGGAUAGGUGCGUCAGAGGUGAAAUCUCUCGGCUUAACUGAGAGGGUGCCUUUGAUACGGCUUGUCUUGAGUGCGAGAGAGGAUGAUGGAAUUCCUGGUGUAGCGGUGAAAUGCGUAGAUAUCAGGAGGAACACCAGUGGCGAAGGCGGCCAUCUGGAUCGUAACUGACGCUGAGGCACGAAAGCGUGGGGAGCAAACAGG
Molecule: ribosomal RNA, 253 nt
Filed under: uncultured bacterium
Lineage: Bacteria
Description: partial 16S ribosomal RNA
Rfam family: Bacterial small subunit ribosomal RNA
Source: RNAcentral